This is a long non-coding RNA of Eptesicus fuscus (big brown bat), 2935 nucleotides long. RefSeq lists it as uncharacterized. The transcript is spliced from 3 exons. The record is from RefSeq and is a predicted model, not a curated record. Lineage: Eukaryota; Metazoa; Chordata; Mammalia; Chiroptera; Vespertilionidae.
UACAAAUAGCAUCUCCAACAAGGGGUUAAUAUCCAAAAUAUAUGUGUUUUUUAAAGACAUUUACAUAGUCUAUAAACUAGACCGUGUUUAGCAGUUGAACAUUGUGUGACUAUAAUAUUGUUCUGUUAGAAUGGACAAUGUCUCAAAGACUACUUGAAAUAUGUUUGAAUGGAAAUUCCUCAUCCACAUAAUCUUAAAAUCAUAAGUAAACGAGGACAGACAAAAGAAAUAAAUGUAAAGUGUAUUUAAAAAGUGACAUAAUUUACUGUGGAAACUAAAAUGUAGCAUAAAACAAUACCUCCCUAGUUAAAUUCCGGUAACUAUUCCAAGGUCCUUCACCAUUCGCUUAGAAAAUUCAGUUCUACAAUCACACUGCAUUAAAAUAUGACAAAAUCAAUUAAGUUGAACCAUAUGAAAUUGUUGCUAUUUGACUGUUUUUGACCUGCAGAAACAGCAAUUUCAUGAGUUACCUUAAUAUAUAUUUCUUUUCAUCAUAAACUCAUAGCCCAUUGAGGCUCUUUCAGGAAAACAGAUAUCCAUAUUUCCUUAGUUAUAUUUUUGGCACAGGCAGACAACCCUGGUAGGAGAGAUGGAUUCUGGAGUCAUGGUCUUUUGAGAUUGUCCACAAAUACAAACAGUUUCUGAUCUAAUGAUUUAAUUUGCAGCAUAAUUAUAUUAACCAGAGUGUUCUGUUCUUCUCAAUCUUUGUAAAAAUGAUUCUGCCAGUUCUGAAGAACAGAUUUGUAAUACUAACUGUAAAAAAUAGAUCAGAGUGGGAAAGAAUGAGUUACUGAGAGCAAAAAGAAAAUAAGGUGAUUGGUGAUGGUUUGGUUUAUUCAUUUCAUUCACAAAAUAUUGAUUGAGUGCCUACUAUGUCUUACAGUGUCUUCAUCUACGAAACAGGGAUGACCACUCUCUCAGGGUUGAUUUGAGGAUAAAAGAGUUAGAAUAUGGAAGGCACUUAGAACAGUGCCUGGCACAUAGUGACUUGUGACCUCCUGUCAUUCUGAUAGUGCAUGAUGAUGCACUGCCCAGCGAGAUGGUGUGUGUUCAUGUCAACUCUGGGUUGCAUUGAUCAGAAACCUCCAACUUCCAUUAAAAGAGAAGAAGCCAGAUGCACUGGAAAGGCAAGCUCUGGAAAUUGAAGAGAGGGAGAGAAGAGCACCUCAGCACGUAGGAAAGGCACCCGAGUUGGGGAAGUCAUCUAAAGGAGAAGUGGAGGUCGGAAAGGCCUCGUUCACAAUCGGCCUGGUGUCCCUGUCUGCAUCUUCCUCACCCUCAUGCCCAUCAGCUGAGAAUCUCAAGGCAAUCUGCCCGGGGAGCUGAGCCACAUAAAGGGCCAGUUUAAGGCACGAAAACAAAUGCUGGUAUGUACUAUUUGUUCAGGAAAUUCAGUUAUGCAAUAAAGUAAAAAAAUGAUAUCACACACCACCCGUAGGUAAACAGCCUCUGGAGCUAACUUUGUGCAUUUUUUGGACUUCUAUUACAUCAGUUUUGAAAACUGGUUUAGCAUACUAGGGGUAUAAAUCUACAUUAAGCAAAUUCAAUUUCAGCCAUCUGCAUUUGAACAAAAAGAAAUCGAAAUGAGUUGGCUUUUUUUCGCAUUUGUAAAAAUAAUACAUGUGUAUUGGGUAAAUACAGAAAAUAUAAGGAAGAAAAUUUAAAAAUCAACAUUAAUUCUAGCACCAAGAGAAAAACCCUAUUAAUAUUUAAAUAUUUAUCCUCAAGGUUUUUUUUCAAUUCAUAUGUUUAGAAAUACUUUUUAUUGUUAUCCUAUAUUAUAUGCAGGUUUUACACUUAAAAUUAUUUUAAAAGAUAAGACAUACAUCUGGCAUUAAAUUCAAAAGGCCAUACAAUGAAAAUAAGAAUCCAGCUACCAAAUUGCAUUUUCCAGAGUCAGCUAGGGAACAGUUUAUUUUAGACUAGAGGCCCAGUGCACGAAAUUCGUGCACUGGUAGGGUCCCUGGUGGCUGCCGGCUGCCACCUGCCAAACGGGUGGGUACUCCCUUCCUUUCCCGGCCAGCUCCGCCCCUGGUUUAACUCCGGGAAGAACUCCUUGUUGAGGGGACAAUUUGCAUACUACACUUUUAUUAUAUAGGAUUCUUCAGAGAGAGAGAGAGAGAGAGCACUGCCCUGAUGACACCUUGAUUUUGGACUUACUGCCUUCAGAACUGUGAGAGAGAGAAAAAUAUCUGUUGUUUUAAGUCUCCGAGUUUGUGGUACUUCCUUACAAUAGGCCUAGGACAUGAAAAACUCUCUUUAUAAUAUAUAAAAUACUCUUAUGGACUAUUAUCUGUUUCUUAGUUUUAUUGAUAUAUAUCUAUUAUUUAUUUUAUUACAUUUUUAAAAAUAUAUUUUAAUAUUCAGUACUUUUCCCUCAUUACUUAUCUUUUCUGAAUUUUCUUAGUAAUCUCACAAAUUCUUCUUUAUGUUUUAAUUUUAGAAUGAAUAUAAGUCCUAUUUUCUGUAAAACAUAAACCUAGUCAUUUUUAUAUAUACCAUGAUUUCUUAUCGACAACAAAAAUUCACAAUAUGAUUACUUUAAAUAACAAAAAUUCACAAUAUGAUUACUUUAAAUAAUAAAAGGUCCAUUCAUUUAAGUUAUGAUUUGAAUUUUUAAAGUUGAUUUGCAUUUAACAAUUUACAUUUAUUCCAGAAAAUUGCACCAAUGUGUGUUUUUAAAACAAUUGUAGAUCUUAAAGAAUUAUUAAAAGUUUGUAUUGCCGAAACCGGUUUGGCUCAGUGGAUAGAGCGUCGGUCUGUGGACUGAAAAGGUCCCAGGUUCGAUUCCAGUCAAGGGCAUGUACCUUGCUUGCGGGCACAUCCCCGGUAGGGGGUGUGCAGGAGGCAGCUGGUCGAUGUUUCUCUCUCAUUGAUGUUUCUAGUUCCCUAUCCCUCUUCCUCUCUGAAAAAAAUCAAUAAAAUAUAUUUUUAA